Molecule: ribosomal RNA, 510 nt
Filed under: uncultured bacterium
Lineage: Bacteria
Description: partial 16S ribosomal RNA
Rfam family: Bacterial small subunit ribosomal RNA
Source: RNAcentral
GACGAACGCUGGCGGCGUGCUUAACACAUGCAAGUCGAACGAAGAGCGAUGGAAGCUUGCUUCUAUCAAUCUUAGUGGCGAGCGGGUGAGUAACGCGUAAUCAACCUGCCCUUCAGAGGGGGACAACAGUUGGAAACGACUGCUAAUACCGCAUACGAUCUAAUCUCGGCAUCGAGGAUAGAUGAAAGGUGGCCUCUACAUGUAAGCUAUCACUGAAGGAGGGGAUUGCGUCUGAUUAGCUAGUUGGAGGGGUAACGGCCCACCAAGGCGAUGAUCAGUAGCCGGUCUGAGAGGAUGAACGGCCACAUUGGGACUGAGACACGGCCCAGACUCCUACGGGAGGCAGCAGUGGGGAAUCUUCCGCAAUGGACGAAAGUCUGACGGAGCAACGCCGCGUGAGCGAUGACGGCCUUCGGGUUGUAAAGCUCUGUUAAUCGGGACGAAAGGCCUUCUUGCGAAUAGUGAGAAGGAUUGACGGUACCGGAAUAGAAAGCCACGGCUAACUACGUG